AGAGAGAGAGAGAGAGAGAGUACACAAAGGUCCACAACUUUCUCAGAAUCCAAGUAAAACAAGAAACAUUUAAGGUUAUUGUAUCAAUUACAAGUGAAAUGGAAAACCUAAACCAGUUUUUAUUUUGGUAAAACCUAUAUCCAAUUCAAGGACAAAUACAUCCAUUUAAUAGGAAAAAAAACAUAAAAUAAAAUAAAAUAAAAUA
Molecule: unclassified non-coding RNA, 205 nt
Filed under: Hevea brasiliensis (rubber tree)
Lineage: Eukaryota; Viridiplantae; Streptophyta; Magnoliopsida; Malpighiales; Euphorbiaceae
Source: RNAcentral